RNAcentral lists this ribosomal RNA (851 nucleotides) under Flavoparmelia amplexa. RNAcentral describes it as "eukaryotic LSU rRNA". It matches the Rfam family "Eukaryotic large subunit ribosomal RNA", at positions 71 to 936 of the family's 3401-position model. Lineage: Eukaryota; Fungi; Ascomycota; Lecanoromycetes; Lecanorales; Parmeliaceae. The record is from RNAcentral.
GGGAUUGCCUCAGUAACGGCGAGUGAAGCGGCAAUAGCUCAAAUUUGAAAUCUGGCCUCCUUCGGGGUCCGAGUUGUAAUUUGUAGAGGGUGCUUCGGGGGAGACCGCGGUCUAAGUCCAUUGGAACAUGGCGUCAUAGAGGGUGAGAAUCCCGUCUGCGACCGCGGAUCGAGCCCAUGUGAAGCCUCUUCGACGAGUCGAGUUGUUUGGGAAUGCAGCUCAAAAUGGGUGGUAAAUUUCAUCUAAAGCUAAAUACUGGCUGGAGACCGAUAGCGCACAAGUAGAGUGAUCGAAAGAUGAAAAGCACUUUGGAAAGAGAGUUAAACAGUACGUGAAAUUGUUGAAAGGGAAGCGCUGGCGACCAGACCUGCCCGCGGGCGAUCAACCGCUGUUCUCAGCGGUGCACUCGCUCCGCGAUCAGGCCAGCAUCGGUUUCGGCGGUCGGAUAAAGGCCUUGGGAACGUAGCUCCCCCCCGGGGGAGUCUUAUAGCCCUCGGCGCAAUGCGGCCAGCCGGGACCGAGGACCGCGCUUCGGCUAGGAUGCUGGCGUAAUGGUCGUCAGCGACCCGUCUUGAAACACGGACCAAGGAGUCUAACAUCUAUGCGAGUGUUUGGGUGUCAAACCCACACGCGGAAUGAAAGUGAACGGAGGUGAGAACCCUUAAGGGCGCAUCAUCGACCGAUCCAGAUGUCUUCGGAUGGAUUUGAGUAUGAGCAUAGCUGUUGGGACCCGAAAGAUGGUGAACUAUGCCUGAAUAGGGUGAAGCCAGAGGAAACUCUGGUGGAGGCUCGCAGCGGUUCUGACGUGCAAAUCGAUCGUCAAAUUUGGGUAUAGGGGCGAAAGACUAAUC